This 483-nucleotide ribosomal RNA is filed under the name uncultured bacterium. RNAcentral's name for it is "partial 16S ribosomal RNA". It matches the Rfam family "Bacterial small subunit ribosomal RNA", at positions 28 to 523 of the family's 1533-position model. The record is from RNAcentral.
GACGAACGCUGGCGGCGUGCUUAACACAUGCAAGUCGAACGGUGAAGGUGGAGCUUGCCCCGCCGGAUCAGUGGCGAACGGGAGAGUAACACGUGGGCAACCUGCCCCUGACUUCGGGAUAACUCCUCGAAAGAGGUGAUAAUACCGGAUACGAAUCCUGCUGGCAUCUGCGGGAUUGGAAAGUUUUUCGGUUCAGGAUGGCCUCGCGGCCUAUCAGAUGGUUGGUGGGGUAGUGGUGCUCCAGGGCGACGACGGGUAGCCGGCCGCGGAGGGUAACCCGCCAGACUGGGACUGCUAGACGGCCCUGACACCUACUGCAGGAAAGUGUGGGGAAUAUUUGACGAUGCGCGCAGGCUUGAUGCAGCAGCGCCGCGUGAGAGAUGACGGCCUGCUGGUUGUAAACCUCUUUUAGUCGGGAAGGAGCGAAUGUGACGGUACCUGCAGAAAAAGCACCGGCUAACUACGUGCCAGCCGCCGCUGUAG